ACGAACGCUGGCGGCGUGCCUAACACAUGCAAGUCGAGCGAGAAUCUUGAAUUUGAUUCCUUCGGGAUGAAGAUUUAAGAGGAAAGCGGCGGACGGGUGAGUAACGCGUGAGUAACCUGCCUUCAGGAGGGGGACAACAUUCCGAAAGGGAUGCUAAUACCGCAUGACAUUGUUUAAUCGCAUGGUUAAACAAUCAAAGAUUUAUCGCCUGAAGAUGGACUCGCGUCUGAUUAGCUAGUUGGUGGGGUAACGGCUCACCAAGGCGACGAUCAGUAGCCGAACUGAGAGGUUGAUCGGCCACAUUGGGACUGAGACACGGCCCAGACUCCUACGGGAGGCAGCAGUGGGGAAUAUUGGGCAAUGGGCGCAAGCCUGACCCAGCAACGCCGCGUGAAGGAAGAAGGUUUUCGGAUCGUAAACUUCUAUCCUUGGUGAAGAUAAUGACGGUAGCCGAGAAGGAAGCCCCGGCUAACUACGUG
Molecule: ribosomal RNA, 479 nt
Filed under: uncultured bacterium
Lineage: Bacteria
Description: bacterial SSU rRNA
Rfam family: Bacterial small subunit ribosomal RNA
Source: RNAcentral